Caerostris darwini is the source of this 102-nucleotide non-coding RNA. Lineage: Eukaryota; Metazoa; Arthropoda; Arachnida; Araneae; Araneidae. The record is from the annotation of a GenBank genome assembly.
ACGGCCGUACCAUGCUGAAUAUACCGGUUCUCGUUAGAUCACCGAAGUCAAGCAUCAAUUUCAGUACUUUGGGUGACCACCUGGAAACACCGCGUGCCGUUG